AUUGAACGCUGGCGGUAGGCCUAACGCAUGCAAGUCGAGCGGCAGAAGGGUACUAGCUCCUGCUUACAGGUGGCGAGGGGCGGGUAAUGGCUAAGAACCUGGGUGUCAACGUGUGCUAGCGUCCGGACGCGGGGGAUAAUACGCUAAUAGCGCAUAGGGAGAACGGGUGAGAGCAUGGGACCUUCGGCCCUCGCACGAGCGUAGGAGCCGAUGUCGGAUUAGCUAGUUGGCGGGGUAAAGGCCCACCAAGGCGACGAUCCGUAGCUGGUCUGAGAGGAUGAUCAGUCACACUGGAACUGAGACACGGUCCAGACUCCUACGGGAGGCAGCAGUGGGGAAUAUUGGACAAUGGGCGCAAGCCUGAUCCAGCCAUACCGCGUGUGUGAAGAAGGUCUUCGGAUUGUAAAGCACUUUAGUUUGGGAAGAAAAGCAGCAAGUUAAUACCUCGCUGUUUUGACGUUACCAACAGAAUAAGCACCGGCUAACUUCGUG
Molecule: ribosomal RNA, 492 nt
Filed under: uncultured bacterium
Lineage: Bacteria
Description: partial 16S ribosomal RNA
Rfam family: Bacterial small subunit ribosomal RNA
Source: RNAcentral